CUUUGGGACUAGGGAUGGUCAUCAAGCUGUGCCGAGACCGGAGAUAAUGCAAAUGUUGCGCAAACCAACGCUUAUCUCCUUCAUUUGAAGCAGGACUGACAUGGAGGCUCGGCAAAUCCGUGUUAUCUGGAGAGACUGUCAUGGAGAAACCACCAGGUAAUGAUAAAGUUACUGAGCCGCAAAUAGGUGAGGCCAUGCACCCUUCCCUUGCAUCUUGUGACAAAGGGAUGUGUCAGUGAUGUGCACUCAGGACCAACCCAUGCCAUCAUCAAUAUUUUCUUCACAAAUUGCUUUUCUCGACUGUGACUUGUAGCCGGGUGGUUCUCGACUUCAGAACCACAGCCUCAAUAUGGAUUUGCAAUCGAAGCUCACAACAGCACUGAGGACAAUUAUGAAGAAGAGAUGAGUGUUAUUGGAGAUGAAUUGCUGUUUGGAUUUGGUUCCGACCAUUUUCUUGGCUGACUGCUGAAUGGCACUCAGGAGAACUCGGGUAUCGUCACUUCCGCUCAUGGUGCUGCUUGCAGGCUGCAUGGAGUGCGCACAGCUACUGUCUCUGGACUUCAUUCCAAACCCGAGCGAAUCACCAAGGUUUCCUGGAAACGGCUUCUUUCAUCCUGGCGAUAUGGUCCGAGUUAAAUGCCAGUACAAUGCCGCAGAAUGUGAAAGUAGGAAUCACACCCAUCUGGUCAUUGUCCCGGAGGGGAAACUCCGAUUGACGGACGCUGGCCGAGGCAAAUGUUGGACAGAAGUCAAGAUUGAGAACAUCACUCUCGUGGAAGGAAAAGAAUUUAUCAGGUGUAGUGACACGGAAGACCAGACACAAGUUAGAAGACGGUCGAUUCGUGUUGGUUAUCCUCCGGUACAACCAACAAAUCUCACAGUCGAAUUUAUUCCCCUCGAUACGAUUCGUCUCUGGCUGGAUCCAGUUAAAAUAGGAAUGGACCUGAAUGACAAUACAACAUUGUGGACUGUGAAUUUUAUUUGGAGGGAUGGUCCUAACGAGUGCGGGACAACGAAGACAGAGCAGCUGACCUCUUCCAGCAGUUUCGUCGCCUGCACCUUGAACCUGACGGGUCGUAACAAAGAUCACGGGACUUACGUUGGAGACCACGGAGGCAGUGUGUACAAACCUGUCACCUUUAACAUCAGCGUCAACAACCUAUUUGGACAAGCUCAAGUGGAGGAAUCUUUUGACUUGUGUUUUAAUGUCAGACCGGGUAAGGUGCAAGGGGCUCGGGUGGUAGAGCGAGGCGAGACCUGGCUUAAUCUGACCCUUGACCUACCAGGCGGUAUUGACAAGCCAAUGCUCCAGUAUAUGUCCUACGGCAAUGACAGCGACCAAAUGAGACUGCGCUACACUCUCGACCAAGUCUCGGAGAAGGACGAGAACAGGUUACGGCCCGAGAGACUGGCAUUCUACCAGAACUUCGGUUUUUACCGCAACUUGCACGAAGACGAAGAAGCCAGGACGAGGCUCAACUUCAGUCUCCAACUUCCUUUUACUAAAGAGGUACCCUGGUCAGACAUAAAUUCUACUACUCUGCAUUUGAGCAUAUCCGGGUUGUCGCCAAACACCCAUUACAGGGUGGAGCUUCGUCUUCUUGCACGCUACCCGGGACCCCUGUUUGAAAUGCCGCUUGACGAAACGUUAACAUCUGAAAGCGUGCCUCUGCAGGCCCCAUCACUGAAAGGUGUUAGUCCAAGCUACUGCUUUGGAAAACAAAACUGCAUCUCUUGUGUCAUUUAUUUCCAGGAAAUUCCACGACCGCUGAGGUUUUCAGAGGUCGAACGAUAUGUUCUGACUGCCACUCUGAUUCAGACGACACAAAGCCUUUCUAACGACUCCAUUGUCGAAAGAGCGAGCAAUAUUACCGUUACAGCAGGCGGACAACAAAAUGCCAUUCUGCUCGAUCGCCUUGUCCCUAACGACUUGUACAACAUCAGCCUUGUGGCAUAUACGGCCAAAGGGACGUCACCCACCUCCACUCUCACACUCAACGCCACGCAGCAUGAAGGAAUCGCAGAUGUAGACCUCGAAGUUGGCCAGUCACAAGAUGGCGGCAGUUCCAGACAGUACCGCGUCUCCUGGCAUGACGAGCAGCAGACUGGAGCCGCGGAUAAUGUCACGUACUUCGUCCACUACUGCUACGUCAACAACGUAGUCAGUGGCCUGUUGUGUAAGACCAAUCUUCUGACACUAAUGGCGUCGACCAGCACAAGCUCUGCACACUGACCAUUCCCCGUUACCGUGGUAACAGCACAGACCUACAACCCAUCUUCUUCGUGUCUAGGGUACAAAACGGACGGUCCAGCGGACUGAUCAAGUCCAAGUGGGUGUACAACAUGGACGCAGACCCCGGGCCCGUGGACUGGGUGACAGUGACAUCACUUCCUGAAACGUUUAGACUACAGGUGGAUUUUGCACCGACCAGGGAAGCGAAUUCCGACACUCCGGUAUAUGGCCGUCCGUCCGGGUACAUCAUCGCAUGGACAGAGAACGGUUCUUGUGAUACCCGUUGUCAAGCUCUGCGAACUGCACCGCCCAACCAAAUGAUGAAGCUACCAUCAUACACGGUAAGACCGUUUACCCUGAUGGACCUUUCACCUUCAACUUCCUACUGCGUUGGAGUCAAGGCCUUGAAAGGAGAAAAUAGCAGCACGUGGACAUGUUCUACUAGUUCCACAGGCGGAGAGCCACACGAGUUCAAUAAAGCUGUCGCCAUCUCGGCAUCAUUGGCCUCAUUUGUCUUGCUGUGUGGCCUGGUUUGCAUCCUUCAUUAUUGCAACACUCAGGUCAACAUGAAAAAAGCCAAGCUGAAGUAUACUGUGACUGACCUUCCUAGACCUAAGACCACCUCAUAUCAGCUACCGGAUUUGGCGAUGGCUUCCUUUACUGUAGCCUCAGCAGAAACGGGUAGGCAGGGUGGACACAGACUUGCCAGCUGCACCGCUUCUUCAACAGACAGCACCUGUGGGCGUACAUGUCGUCCGAGCAGAAAUGUCACAUCUACGGCGCCGUGGAGAGCAAAGAAACCAGUGAAAGGGAGGGGGAACGAUUCUACUGCAAGAUCCACGGCAAAGACAGUGACGUGUGCGAGGAACGGGACGCCACAACAGGUGCAGGGAAAGACGUCACGGAAGCCGUUAGGGGAAUGGAUGUGAGCGAGGUCACGAGGGAACAUGAACCCCAGGACAGCUUCAGCUACGACGCCAAUGACGUGGUAGAAAGUGACGUCUGCGAAGAAUGCUGUGGUGUCGUGGGACGCUACGUCACAGAAGACGCCUAGCGAUGACGGAAGUGACGUUACGGAGGACAAGCCACGUUCAUUGGAACAACGUGACAGACGACGAGGAAGAAAGUGACAUCAGUGACGAAGCCAGUACUGCCGCAGAAAGAUACGUCACUAACGCUUCGUGGACCUAUCCUUUCAUUGCCGCGCUGGCAUCGGACUCGCAGACAGACUCCUUGAGGCGGUUGCGACCUUUACCGUGUUCAGGGGAAGACAACCUGGCCUUUGGCAACUUUCAAGCAACGGAUUCCAUCGGUGGGACUCGAACGUUUAGGCACCGACACUCGAGACCAGAACAGGGAUUGUUCUCCAGACAACAAGACAGUGUCUCUGUUGACGGAAUGUAACUCAUGUGAAUCGACAGCCUUCAUGCCGGAAGUUGCUUUUUCGCCUGCAGCCAAGAAACCAAAUGUGCCUUUACAUAUUAUCCAGAUUUUGCAAGGCCAUUUUAACAGCUCUGACCAUUAUGUUCACAUUUCGGAACUUCAGCGGGAGGAACCUUUAGAAAGUUGAUGCUGUCCUACACGAUCUCAAAACUUUCACA
RNA transcript from Pomacea canaliculata, 3834 nucleotides. RefSeq lists it as uncharacterized. The record is from RefSeq and is a predicted model, not a curated record. NCBI's taxonomy places the organism in Eukaryota, Metazoa, Mollusca, Gastropoda, Architaenioglossa, Ampullariidae. The transcript is spliced from 18 exons.